AUGAACCCAACUGCAAUCGAUCAGCCGCGGGUGGCCGCCGUAGUGAUCGGAUCUGCGACGUGGGGUGGGACAGGGGUGCCCGUGCAAAUUCGCAGGCCUGACUUACAGAGGUUGACGCCCUGUUACCGGCACCACGAAUGUGCUCAAGGCCGCCUCUGCCGCAAAUGUCCGAUGAGUGGUCGUCGUGACGAGCUACAAAGGAACUUUGUGACCCCAAAGACUGGCCCCAAGGCAAGAUCAGAGACGAGAGCUCUUGGUCAGACAAAGAAUUCUGUAGGAGCAAUGAGAGCUGGUACCCUGUUGCCAAGAUCACGGCAGAAGCGGCGGCUCUGGAGUACGGGCGUGAAACCGGGCUCGACGUGGUGA
RNAcentral lists this ribosomal RNA (366 nucleotides) under Triticum aestivum (bread wheat). RNAcentral's name for it is "partial small subunit ribosomal RNA". The record is from RNAcentral. Lineage: Eukaryota; Viridiplantae; Streptophyta; Magnoliopsida; Poales; Poaceae.